GCAGGGCGCCGCCGUAGCCGCCCAGCUCGCCCAGCGAGCCGUUGAGCAGGGCGCCGCCGUAGCCGCCGUAGUCGCCCAGCGAGCCGUUGAGCAGGGCGCCGCCGUAGUCGCCCAGCGUGGCGCCGAUGGGAACGCCGUCGUUAUGCGCAUGUUCAACAGCUUUCAGGUAGGCAGCUGAUGCCUUAACCUCCACUUCGUUAGUUUCCAGUUGGACUAAAAGGGAAGACAUUCAAUCAAUGAAGUCAAAAUACCAAAAUCCAGACAAAGCCUCAAUGAAAUAUGGACCUCAAGAACCUGAGCCGUACACAAACAUGAAUCAAAUAGGGUUAAGCAGAACUGUCUUACCUUCUUUUGACUUCCGCAGGAACACAGACUCAGACUGCGUAAGAGCCUUCUUUAUGGAGGGCUCAUUAGGAGACAGCUCUAUUUGUAAUAAAAUAAUGUCAGUGUCAAGUAGAAGCUAAUCAAAUAUUUAGUCACCCAAUAUUCUUACCUCUCAUUGCCCUUUGCGGCCCAUUACCAUUCACAUUUGUGCCACCAACUGGCCAACCAGAGCCUAUGAAUAGAGCAGUUGCAUAUAAUCAAAGGUUUCUUCGUCAUCAUUACAUUUACUAUACUCCAAUGCAGAUCCAUUGAAUAGAUGUUUCCAAAACAGACAGAAAUACCUUUGGUGAACCAGACAGUCAGCACAAAAACAAGCAAGGCCCAAAACGCUCCCAUUACUUCAGCCACCAACAGAAAAUACGAUCUGAGCCACACGGCAGGUUUCAUAUACCCAUCCUGCAGGUGUCACAGGUGUUGCUGAUCAGCUAUAAUCAGCUCUUCAGGAAUCAGUGCUUGUUAAUGCUACCUCGACUAAAGACUAACAAAUUGUAGCACUUAAAUUGUACUUGUAACAUUACUCAUCUAUAGCAAAUUGUAAAUUGGCUUAUUUGAGGAAAUUGCACUUUCUUGUUUCUUGUUCUUCUGAGUUUGUACCCCUAUGGUUGAAUGCACUUACUGUAAGUCGCUUUGGAUAAAAGUGUCAGCUAAAUGACAUGUAAUGUAAUGUUAAGAUGCAGCCCUUCUUUUGACCAACGUUUGACAAUCUAUCUCUAUCAGAAAACCCAUAAAAAUUGUGGCAUUUAUCAGUUUUAUGACUUGAAGAUUAAGACAUGGGGAAAACAGAAAAGCUCAGGACAUAUAUAGCUUUUGCAUUUGUUAUUUUUUCCAUUGUUUAGAUAUGUAUCAACUGUAAAAAUGUAUUUCAACAUUAUAUCGGAUGGCAUCUAUGUAUAUGGUAAAUGGACUGUGCUUGUAUAGCGCUUUUCUAGUCUUCUGACCACUCAAAGCGCUUUAACACUACAUGACGUCAUUCACCCAUUCACACCCAUUCAUACACUGAUGACAGGAGAACCAUACACAGUGACACCUGCCCAUCAGUAACUACCAUUCACACACUGUAGUCGCAGCUACAGGAGCAACGUUGGGUUAAGUUUCUUGCCCAAGGACACAACGACAUGCAGGUUAGCAGAGCCUGGGAUCGAACCGACAACCCCCUCUAAUUGGAGGACGACCGUGCUCCCCACUCACCCACAGACGCCUCAAAUGAUAUAUAGUUCUUCCUAAUAUAAUA
Long non-coding RNA from Gasterosteus aculeatus aculeatus (three-spined stickleback), 1615 nucleotides. The record is from Ensembl. NCBI's taxonomy places the organism in Eukaryota, Metazoa, Chordata, Actinopteri, Perciformes, Gasterosteidae.